This 468-nucleotide ribosomal RNA is filed under the name uncultured bacterium. Its description in RNAcentral is "partial 16S ribosomal RNA". It matches the Rfam family "Bacterial small subunit ribosomal RNA", at positions 28 to 507 of the family's 1533-position model. The record is from RNAcentral.
GACGAACGCUGGCGGCGUGCUUAACACAUGCAAGUCGAACGGAAAGGCCCUGCUUGUGUGGGGUGCUCGAGUGGCGAACGGGUGAGUAACACGUGAGUAACCUGCCCUUGACUUUGGGAUAACUUCAGGAAACUGGGGCUAAUACCGGAUAGGAGCUCCUGCUGCAUGGAGGGGGUUGGAAAGUUUCGGCGGGUGGGGAUGGACUCGCGGCUGAUCAGCUUGUUGGUGGGGUAGUGGCUUACCAAGGCUUUGACGGGUAGCCGGCCUGAGAGGGUGACCGGCCACAUUGGGACUGAGAUACGGCCCAGACUCCUACGGGAGGCAGCAGUGGGGAAUAUUGCACAAUGGGCGGAAGCCUGAUGCAGCAACGCCGCGUGCGGGAUGACGGCCUUCGGGUUGUAAACCGCUUUCGCCUGUGACGAAGCGUGAGUGACGGUAAUGGGUAAAGAAGCACCGGCUAACUACGUG